ACUGAAAUGAUGGCACCAUUCCUGGAGUUAGGCCUUCAACCAAAGAGCUGGGCCAUCCGUGGCAAUGCCUCCCAGGCUUGGGAGCUGGGAAAAGGCCCCAGGAGCUAGGGCAUCCUGAUUGUUCUUUCAAAGAAAUCCCUCUUGUUCUUAGUCAACAUGCUGGAUACCAGCUAAAAAAUGCAAAAUGAUCUUCAGGCAGGGAUGGCACAGGACCCUUGCUGAGCUGUGAAGCCUGGCUGUGAGGAUUCCUGCAUGGAAACAUCAACAUGUUGCCAGAUUGGUAUACGACUCAACACCACACUGACAUGCUGCUCCCAAACAGUGCCUUUGAAUCAAGACCCAGUCAUCGUAUUCGAAGAAAAAGGAAAUAUCCCUGACCAUGUUGGGACUUAACACUGCUUCACAGAGGAAAAUGAUGGAAGUAAUGGACUUGUAGUACAACAAAAAAGGCCCCAGUUAGGCACUGCAAAGACCCCAGGACUGCCAGUGUUCCAGAUGAUGGAAUGGGUCCAUGGAGUUCCUGGUGACUAAUGCCAUCCACAAGAUCUGAAGGUGUUGUGUAACCUAGACCUGGCCCUUCUCUCAGUGCAUCCCCCUCUCCAGAGUGACCAACUCAGAGAGGUCAUGUGCUUAAGGGUGAGAACCACUACAGGACAAAAAUGAGCUCCUUUUUUCCAGUCUCAGCCCAGGAGGGAUCUUCACAGAGAAAGCAAGCCCAGCCCAUCCCCACAGCUGGCUCCCUGGUGCCCAUUCUGAAAGGCUGGACCCAUCCUGACCUGUCCCUGCCCCAAGGACUGCCUGGUGAGGGAUGGCUUACCAACACUGUGACUCAGUCCUUCCAACAUGCCCAACAGGUCAAUUCUGGGAUAUUCCUUACAGGAAUUAAUGAGAGCACAUUGCCGGUAAUGUUGGCAUUAGUAGAUUACAUUUAAAUUUAAAAAUUCCUUUUAUGGGGUUUAAGAAUAGAGACAAGACACCCAUGCAAUAAAGAAAGGAGGAGACUUUGCCUGGUCUAAUGGAGAAGCUGGAGCUGCAUUGUUGGGUACAGUGGCCAGUGGCUACACCUGGCUUUUGAGCCCUUGCACAGUGGCAAGGACACAUUGAGAUGUGCCCUAGGUGCAAGAUACACACAGGAUUUCAAAGACUGAGUAUGAAAAAAGAAGAAAAAAUGUCUCAUUAAUAUUUUUAUAUUGGUUGCAUGUGGAAGUGAUAACAUUUUGGAUAUAAAGUUGACCUUUGAACAGUAUGGGUUUGAACUGCACAGGUCUGCUUAUAAGUGAAAUUUCUUCUGCCUCUGCCACCCCUGAGACAGCAAGACCAACCCUCCACUUCCUCCUCCUCCUCCUCCUCCUCAACCUGCUCAACGUGAAGAUGAUGAAGAUCAAGACCUUCAUGAUGAUCUACUUCCACUUAAUGAAUAGUAAAUAUAUUUUCUCUUCCUUGUGAUUUUCUUAAUAACGUUUUCUUUCCUCUAGCUUAUUUUGUUGUAAGGAUACAGUGGUAUAUAAUAUUUAUAACAUACAAAAUAUGUGUUAACCAACUCUGCUAUCAGUAAGGCUUCUGAUCAACAGUAUGCUAACAUUUUUGGACAGUAGUUAAGUUUGGGCAGAGUCAAAAGUUAUAGGCAGAUUCUUGAUUGUGUGGGGUAUUGGCAUCCCUAAUCUCUGCACUGUUCAAGGGUAAACUGCAUUAGCUGAAAUAAAGCAUAUUCUUAAAAU
This is a long non-coding RNA of Homo sapiens (human), 1718 nucleotides long. Lineage: Eukaryota; Metazoa; Chordata; Mammalia; Primates; Hominidae. The record is from Ensembl.